GAUGAAGAACGUAGCGAAAUGCGAUAAGUAAUGUGAAUUGCAGAAUUCAGUGAAUCAUCGAAUCUUUGAACGCAUCUUGCGCUCCUUGGUAUUCUGAGGAGCAUGCCUGUUUGAGUGUCAUUAAAUUCUCAACUACACUGACUUUGAAUUGGUGUGGCUUGGAUUGGGGGGAAAAUUGUUGUGGGCUUUUUGUAUAGUCUGCUCCCCUGAAAUUGAUUAGCGGUACCUUUGUGGAACUGUCUACAGGUGUGAUAAUUAUCUACAUCUUAGACAUCUGCUGGAAUGCUGCUUUCUAAACCUUACUUGUAUUGACAAUCUUGACCUCAAAUCAGGUAGGACUACCCGCUGAACUUAAGCAUAUCAAUAAGCGGAGGA
This 375-nucleotide unclassified non-coding RNA is filed under the name soil metagenome. RNAcentral describes it as "partial contains 5.8S ribosomal RNA, internal transcribed spacer 2, and large subunit ribosomal RNA". The stretch from base 1 to 120 matches the Rfam family "5.8S ribosomal RNA", at positions 35 to 154 of the family's 154-position model. The record is from RNAcentral.